RNAcentral lists this ribosomal RNA (253 nucleotides) under uncultured bacterium. RNAcentral's name for it is "partial 16S ribosomal RNA". It matches the Rfam family "Bacterial small subunit ribosomal RNA", at positions 524 to 776 of the family's 1533-position model. The record is from RNAcentral.
UACGAAGGGGGCUAGCGUUGCUCGGAAUCACUGGGCGUAAAGCGCACGUAGGCGGUCUUUUAAGUCAGGGGUGAAAUCCUGGAGCUCAACUCCAGAACUGCCUUUGAUACUGAGAGACUUGAGUCCGGGAGAGGUGAGUGGAACUGCGAGUGUAGAGGUGAAAUUCGUAGAUAUUCGCAAGAACACCAGUGGCGAAGGCGGCUCACUGGCCCGGUACUGACGCUGAGGUGCGAAAGCGUGGGGAGCAAACAGG